CAGUCGCCACGGGAACACGAAGGGUGCAAGCGUUAAUCGGAAUUACUGGGCGUAAAGGGUGCGUAGGCGGUUGUUUAAGUCUGUUGUGAAAUCCCCGGGCUCAACCUGGGAAUGGCAAUGGAAACUGGACGGCUAGAGUGUGUCAGAGGAUGGUGGAAUUCCCGGUGUAGCGGUGAAAUGCGUAGAGAUCGGGAGGAACAUCGGUGGCGAAGGCGGCCAUCUGGGCCAACACUGACACUGAGGCACGAAAGCGUGGGGAGUAAACAGGAUUAGAUACCCCGGUAGUCCCUGUCUCUUAUAC
RNAcentral lists this ribosomal RNA (301 nucleotides) under uncultured bacterium. RNAcentral's name for it is "partial 16S ribosomal RNA". It matches the Rfam family "Bacterial small subunit ribosomal RNA", at positions 509 to 807 of the family's 1533-position model. The record is from RNAcentral.